UCAAGAAAAAAUAAAAAUCACGUUAACUUAUACAUAGUUCAAAAGAUAGAAAAUGGCUGUUUCCCAGAUUUUCAUAAGAAGAAGAGUUCACGAGAAGUCGGAAUCGGACAUCGGAGUUCGAGAGAGAACAGUUGAGAAAAGCAGAGACGGACUGAGCUGAAGUAGGUGGAAGCAACGUGACACAAUGUCAGGAAGGGACGGUGGCAAGAAAAAGCCAUUGAAGGCACCCAAAAAGGGCCAAAACGAAAUGGACGAUGAUGACAAGGCAUUUUUAGCUAAAAAGAAGGAAGAAGAAAAGAAGAUGAAGGAAUUGGCUCAGCGUGCUGCUAAAGGUGGUCCACUUGGUACUGGAGGUAUCAAGAAGAGUGGCAAGAAAUGAUGGCAUUUGGUUUUAGCAGUGGAUUUUGUUUUUAAGAGUAAUUUUUCUUUUAUUAAAUACAUAAAAAAUUGUUUUUUAUUUUCUAUUCUCAUAUUUAUCACCUUUUCCUAUAACUUCCCUGUUUGCAGGCUGAGUUCCAAACUUGAAGCCAUCUUGGGCUAGAGUCUGUUUACAUUAUCCACAAGUAAGAAAAUAAAACCUCUUAUGCACAAAAGAACUUGAGGAUAUGACACAAAUAGUCUGAGAAAAUAUUUUGUACAAAGAUGGUUAUAUUUAACAAUCCCCGUUUUGUAUUGUUUAAUGUAUUUACAAUGCAGUAAACAAUCCAGAAACAACUUUAAAAAUGUGUAAAAUUUACUUUACAGAGACAAUCGGAACGGAUUUGAGUGUUACACAUGUAAUUUCAUUUGUCGAUGUUUGUAUACUUUUAUGUAUCCUAGAACUAAAGUAUGCAUCUUCUCUGGUUCGAUGACAUCUCCACACUCAGCCUUAACUACCUGCAAAAAAAGAAAAAAAAAAUUGAAUUGUAUGAGAAUUUGACAAACUUCAUAGAAUAGGUAAUACAAUGUCAUAUCAAAUAUCUUAAGAAAUUGAUGCCACAAAUGCUUUCCCAUACAUAAUGAAAAAGUAUGUCACCUGAAUGCCCACAACUUCUUAAAAAUUAUAUACUACACAUGAAAACAGAAGAAUGUUUUGCAAUAGAAAAGAAAAAAAAUUAAGACCACAGACCUUAAAAUAUACGUUUAUUCAAAUCAAGUACAGGAGUCUGUAACUCUUACUUUCACUGUUUGAUUACACACCAUUUAGUUUUCCUGUAAUUUUUUUCCCCUCUUAGCAAAAAUUAUCAUGCAGUAGAACCCGGCUAUAACAACACAAUGUUCUUGUGAAAAUAUAGGACUAAUCUUGUACAAACCCACCAGUCACAAGAAGUCUGAUUCUGAUUAGAACUGUUCCAUCUUGCAAACCUCCUUUAGGAAUCAGAACUGUUCCAUCUUGCAAACCUCCUUUAGGCCUGAAAACACCACUCCAAAUGUGAUGGUCCCCUCACUGGUCACCUAUGCCCUCACCUUGCCUAGGCAGCCUAACUUCUACAAUGAGAAUCGGCACAUGUGCCCAGUGCUACAUUCUUUGCUAGGGAUAGAUAGAUUAGAGUGGUGAGGUGGGAAUAAAUAUAUUAAGAUUAGUUUUUCCUGACUUCUGAAUCUUAUAUAAUAAACUUCUUGGUCUGGUUCUCUGGUAAGGUGGGAAAUAAUUAACUUGUGAAAGCAUAUGUUUGCCUCCUGGGAAAAAUACAAAAGCUUAACAAAAUUUUCCAACAGGAAUACAAACCUAUGCUUUCACAAAUUGAGACUACAUAACUCUUGGGAGGGACACAAUCUGCCCUUAUAAUGCCCUGCCCUGUAAGGGGUAGGGCCAUCAGUGCACCUCAUGUGGUGUACUGUAUGCAUUACUUAAGGUUCAUAUUCUUUCUAUUUACUUUCCACCCUCUCUUACCUGAUUCAUAGUGCAACUACAAGGCUUUCCUCCUGUUACAACUUUUACUGUUAAUCUUCAUUUCAGGCACUGAAUGACCUCAUUGGUCCCAGUGCUUGGCCUUCCCUAGGGUGUACCUAGCCAUCGGUUCUAGUUCCUGGGAGGCUAACCACUAGUGAAUACUUGCUGCCAGGUCACACAAGGCUGGAGAGAUAGUCAUUCAUCAUGACAACAGUGGCCCACUAGGGAGUGACAUCUCCAAGAGGUUGAUGUGCUCUCCCUCCACCUCAAGACUCCACAUCCCUGAAAUGCAUUCUCCAUUGAGGUUUGCACCCCACCCUUUUCAAUAGGUAAUGGCAAAUAUGACAUUUUUAAAUUAUUUUUCAUCACUGACAAACCUGAGGUCUUAACAAUAGGAUAAUCUAGUGCCAGCGGGAAACCAGUUAAAAACAAAUUGUAAAGCAAGGAAUCUGUGGUAUCUGGCAACUCGUUCGUAUACAAGGUGGAUGUUGGUCACUGACCUGGCUUGGAACCUCAUGACUCGUCAGUCUUUCUUCAACUGCCUUGGAGAGUCGUCGUUUGCUUUGCGGGCCUUCCCCAUGCUGCUGUUUUUUAUUGAAGCUUGUGCUUUGUUUCAUAUUUAUUCAGCCCAGAAGUUCUGUGGAUGUCAACGUUUUUAGAUGGCCUUCCUUGGGACAGAUGCAAAUUGCAAAUGUGACUUUUUCUCUGCUUCGUCAUCAUGUGUUAUGAGUAUGCUGGUCCAUCUCCCAAAGAGAUAUUGCCCCUUCAGGGAGAGGAGGGGCCAAGUAAUUUUUGUUCUUUAGUAUUUUACUUUUGUUUUAUGGAAGAUAAUUUGAAAACAUCUGUAUUGACAUAUUUUAUGUAUCUUUCAUAUUAUCUUCUUACACAUUUUCUGGGAACGUAGUAAUGUUUGUCUUUCAAAAUUUGUGUUUCAGGAUGUUCAAGACGUAGGGGCUCGUGUUACAGACAAGGUUUUUAUGCUAGGAUUCAGCUGUCUAGCAUAGGAGUACAUUCCCACACUUCUUCGACACAAAUUUUAAUGGCGUACAAUUGCGAUCUUUCCGUCUGCUUGCAGGGCCAGUCGUGAUUGUUGACUUGUCUCUUUCUGUCAUUUUGGUGGAAAAGGGGUGUGGGUUGUACGGCUCACUCCAGUCUUUCCCUCCAUCCUCAUGUAAAUAUGAUUCUAUUUCCCUUCCAGGAUACUAAUCUUUCCAGAGAGAGCAUGUUCUGUGUUUCUACAGGCUCUUCAGUUAUGUGUUUCUCUAUAGGGUCUUCAGUUGUCAGUCCUGCUUCUCACCUGGAAGUCUGGCAGGGGCAGCGUUCUGCUCAGAACUUAGGGAGCCUCUGCUUCACUUUCCUAAUUCUUUAUUUGUGUUUGUGCUGUGAAGAGAGAGAGAGAGAGACUUUGGAAGCAGUCAGUACUGUCGGCGGUGUGUUCCUUGCUGUCAUCGGAGCUCCUUGGUUGCUGACAAUACGACGUCGUCAAGCAGGGAUACCAGGUACCUUACAGACUGCUUUGAAUAUAGGCUCCCUAUGAUGUUUGACUUGGUACCCUUGUCAUAUGAUAUAAUUAUAGUACUUUUUUGUUUUAACGUUUUUCCAUACUGCAUACGUUUUCUCUCUGUAACAGUAAUCUGCUGUGUGAAGUCAUGGCCUCUGGUAACUACAUAGUUUGAUGCUGCUGUGUUUGACAGAGAGCGAUCUCUCUUCCUAUUCCUUCAGUGAUGGAUUUUCUUGGAAAUUCUUUGCUAUCCGUCACGUACGUGUCUUGGGAGACCUUUGACUUGGGCUACCAGUCCAAAUGCUGUGACAUCAUUCUCAAUACUUCUUUACUAGUGACAUCUCUCCUUCGCCUGUUGCCAUGAUGUAACUUCCAUCAUCAUGGCGCCACUGCAGUCAGCUGUCAGUCCAUCAGAGGUGUUCUUCCAAAAGUUGGUUGAUUGGAUGGACUCUGUUUGGUAGGUGGUGUCCCAGGGUUUCAAACAGAAGACUUCAUAGGGCAAGACCUCCGUCGCCUUUUCCUCCCCCUCCCCCUCUCCUGUUGGAGAAGGGACUUGUGGCAUAUUCUGAGUGUGAGAGAGGUGUUUCUCCACCUUCCCAGCACGGACGUGACUCCUCUUCAAGUACAUGAAUGUGUUCCAGUCCGUGUGGUGUUUCUUCCAUCAUCUUCCCAGCACGGACAAGAAUCUCCCCUCGAAGUAUGUGAAGGUGGUCCAGUCCAUGUGGCGUCUUCUGAGAGAGUGAGAGCUAUUUCUUCCAUCUUCCCAGCAUGGACGUGACUCGCCUUCAAGUAUGUGAACGUGUUCCAGUUUGUGUUCAUCUUCACUCGCAUCAGAGUUCUCAGGCUGGUUCUCAAUCUCCACAUGCAAGGUCCUUUACUCUCUUGGUCACCUCCAUGGGCUGCAACGGGUCCUGCAGUUGCUGCCAGGCCUCUUUCACCUACCACUGGAGAGACUGGAGGUGCACUCAUGUCCCUAGGAACCAGUUUCUCGAGGAAACCAGAGGGGCCCAGGGAGAUAUACCACUUCUUUGCAGGUUGGUCUGUCUUGGAUAGCAAUUAACACAAGAUAUCCAGAAUUUUUACUAUUCUCUCCUGUAAAGGGAAGACUUACCAACUGUUCCUCUAGGGGGGUCAAACUCAGACUUGGACAGGUUUACCACAAUACUCAACACUUGGCACAGGUCGAAGACAAUGUCUCUGCCUCCUCCCAAGAUGAGGCAAGUAUUAACUAGUUGCAGAGGUAACACCUCAGUCACAUGCCCUUGGAAUGUUCCCAAGAGGACACAAUGGAACAAUAGUGUCCUGUAGUUAAACCAAAGCAGAGCCUGGAGCUGGUAGGUCACCCUCAUGGUGGCAAACUGCAGUAUUUCCUGGAGGUCAGGGGAAAUACCCGAGGCUUAUGAAUAUGGCUUGCAGCUUCCUCUGUAAACAAAAUGAUAUCUACAUAUUGUGGAACUAGAGGACAAUUUCCCAGUUUUUCAUUCUCCCUACACCAGGGGAAAGCUUUUUAUAAAACCUUGAGUUGCUGAGACAAGAAGGAUGCUCAGCUUGAAGGCUGCUUUCCAGCACUUUGCCAAUGUAGUUGGAGGAAGCAGAAACCAGGUACUGUAUCACUAACUGCUACAAUGAUGCAAUUGCACAUGAACCAUUGUAUCAAGAUGGUGCAGAGUGCCCGGAUGGACAUUAGUUCUCAACAAAAAUCACCCGAUAUGAGAGAGAUCCAGUCGACACACCUGGUGACAAAAGCCUAGGGUAUUUCUGGUGAUAAAAGUUCACUCUUGACGUGGUUAGAAGUAGUGUAAAGCCAUUGGUCCCGUUGCUGAAUAACCACUGGUUCCAUGCAAUGUAAAACACCAUACAAUCAAACUAACAGAAGCUUGGGAGAGGACUGGUUAUUGGAAGCAAGAGGUUGCUUACGAUAAUUUGAAUACCUAUAAAUGCAUCAGAAGAAGCAUUUUCAGUGGCUGUCUGUCAAUACCUGGGGAUAGCCAUAAGUUUGAUCGAGGUGGCAACUACCAAGGGUAGCCCCCUCCCCACCUCGGACAUCCUUCAACUACCGGUAAUAAUCCCUGGUGCAGAGGAGUAGGACAAUGACUUUAGCCUAUGAGAUCCGAGUAACCGGAGUCGUCACCUCCAUCAACAUCUUGAAAGCCACCUUUCCAACGGCUGUCUGUCGAUACCUGGGACUGAGGGGGGUGACUACCUGUAUGCAACCCCAUGCCUGUCUUCUCCCUGGUACAGGGGAGGGACAGUGACCUUUGUCUAGGAGAAUCAAGGGACAAGUCCCCUUCUCCACUGCACAACACUAAACUGUUACAUUGAUAAAUUCAUGAUAAUCAAAAUAAAAUACAGACAGUCCCCGACUUACGACGUUCCGAGGUUAAAGCAUUUUUCAAUUAUAUUUAUCAGAAAUUAUUUCCAGGUUUAAGAUGCAUUCCAGGGUUAUGGUGCCUACAACGCUGAUCUGGCAAGAAAUAUAACUCCAAAAAUGCAAAAUUAUCAAUACAGUGGUACCUCGAGAUACGAAAUUAAUCCGUUCCGAGGCAGCCUUGGUAUCAUGAGUAUUUCAUAUCUUGAACCGCAUUUUACAUCUAAUUCGUUCCAAGCCCUACAAAAACACCCCAGUAAAUUAUAUUUCCAGGCUUACAACAUAUGUUCUAGGGUUACGAUGCUGAUCCGACGGAAGAAAUAUGACUCCAUAAAGGCAAAAUACAGUACAUACUUGAGUAAUAUUCAACUGCAUGUAGUGUUCAACCCCAUUUUUACUGCAUAUAUUAGGACUUUAGCAUAUGUCCCUUAGCAAUAUGCCUAGCCUAUGUUAGCAGUUGCUACUGUAGCCUAGUCUAUGAUUCUGACAUCUAAAUCUAAGAAGCUAAAAGCUUAAAAUAUGCCAAUAAAAUGUAUAAAUAAUCAGUAUGUACUCAUUUCAAAUAAUUAUUAAUUAAUCAUUAACUAUAAUACACAAACAAACAAACAAAAAAUCUUCCAACCGUUUGUUUACAUUCAGCUUUUACGAGUACCAAACGAUCGCCAAGCAAUCACUUUUCCUAGCACAGUAAGCCAUAAAUUUUCAUUAGUAUCUCUCUUCAACUAAUGAAACUACCAAACAGUAUAAUAACCAUUCAUUUCUAUUUAUUCCAUCUUUACCUAAUGGAGAUACCGAGUUACUGACAGCUACAAUGAAACAUAUACGUAAUAUUAAAACAGAAGAAGAAUUCUAGAAAAUACGUAUUUGUUGGCUUCGAUGAUAGCAGUCUGAUUUAUUUUAUAUUUUAUGAUAUCUAAUUCACAAUUUUUUUAUUAAAUGUAUUGCAUGUACUCAUUUCAAAUAAUUAUUAAGUAACCAUUAACUAUCAUAAACAAUCAACAACAACAAAAAAAGCUUCCAAACUUCUGUUUACAUUCAGCACUUACGAGUACCGGACGAUCGCCAAGCAACCACUUUUCCUAGGACACAGUAAGCCAUAUAUUUUCAUUUAUCUCUCUUCAACUACUGAAACUACCAAACAGUAUAAUAACCAUUCAUUUCUAUUCUUUAUUCUAUCUUUACCUAAUUUUUUUUUUAUUAAAUGUAUUGCAUGAAUAAGUUUUUCAAUUUACAGCAUCCUUUUACCAAUAGAAUACAGAGCACAAGGGGUAGAUGCUGACCAAUAGGAGAGCAGGAUCUUAUGGAGUGACUAGCAUCAGGAACCAAUGGGAGAGCAGGAGGAUGAUGGCGAGUUUUAAAAUUGUUCUCUGUGGUCCGGGCGAAUCUCAGGACUUUACAGCAACAACCUUUCGUAACUUGAACUAUUUUCGUAUGUAGAGCCAAAAAAAUCUUCAUAUUUGCUUUCGUAUCUCUAGUUUUUCGUAAGUUGAGCCUUUCAUAUGUCGAGGUACCACUGUUUUUGAAAGUUUUUUUUUUUUUUUUUAUAAAAAAUGCAAUAAGGAUGCAGUUUACAUUAAAAGUAAGGUUUUCUUAGGAUUUUUUACAAUGUUCCCGCUUACAAUGCGUCUCAAGAACGGAACCACAUCGUAACCCGGGGACUGCCUGUAUUGGCAAAGGCACAGGAAGGACGCGAUAGAGCCAGGCACAGGAGCAAAUGACUUGGAUAGGAGGGCUAGUAGGAGAGAACUGGCACCAGCUUUGGGAGGUGUGAGGUAAGCACUUGGCAGCCACUGGCGACUGAAAAACUAGGCGCUCAGACAAGAGGCAAGAUGCCAUCUCUGGAAAUCUCAAGUUACUUAUUACUUUUGCAUUGUGCAAAUAAUAAAUCAGUAAUUGAUUAUUAACUACUUUAUAUGAAAUUCUGGCAUCUAGGCAAGAAGGAAUGCUAAAAUUGUAUGAAUGAAAUUUUGGAAGAUGGGGAUGCUGAAACAUUCAAAAAAGGGGAAAAACCCUCCUAAGAAGGACCAGUAAAAACUCUGAUGCUCCUUCUUCUCAUAAAAUGCCUUCACUGCAACAUGGGUAGGAACGACAUUCCAGGCAAGGAUUAGUAAUGGUACAAUAAUUAGAUCGGCACCUACUGCAACUUGUAUGGGGAUCUGUUAUAGUAGCAGCCAAAAACCUUGUGCACAGAAAUCCUCGAAUGCCCGGGCACAUGCGUUGACAAGGCCUAGAAGAAUUGGUGGACUUCAUGAUGCCCAACAAUCACACACUGAAAUAAAGAAAUCACUGGCAAACAAAGCAACCCGCUUUGGAGGAGAGCAAAAGCGACUACUCUCCUAGGCAGUCAAAGAAAGACUAGGUCAUCAUGAGGUUCUAUGCCUGGUCGGUGACCAUCUUCCACCUUGUACAUGCAUGAGUUCUCAGAUGCCAUAGAUUCCUUGCUUUACAGUCUUUGAUUGUUUUUAACCAGUUUCCAACUAGCGCAAGAUUAUCCUAUUGUUGAAAAUUUGUCAUUUUCCUAUAUAUAAGAUUAUCCUAUUGUUAAAAAUUUGUCAUUUUUCUCUAUGUAUUCAGACUUCGCAAAAUGACACUCGGACAGACUAAAGGCAAAAUGUCGCUGUCUCUGGUGAUCUCAAUUUGUACUUAUUACUGUACGAAUAUAAUCGAUUAUUAACUACUUUACAGUAUAUGAAAUUCUGGCAUUUAGGCAUGAAGGCAUGCUAAAAUUGUAUAAAUAACAUUA
Macrobrachium nipponense is the source of this 8485-nucleotide long non-coding RNA. RefSeq lists it as uncharacterized. NCBI's taxonomy places the organism in Eukaryota, Metazoa, Arthropoda, Malacostraca, Decapoda, Palaemonidae. The record is from RefSeq and is a predicted model, not a curated record. The transcript has 5 exons.